This 406-nucleotide ribosomal RNA is filed under the name uncultured bacterium. RNAcentral describes it as "partial 16S ribosomal RNA". It matches the Rfam family "Bacterial small subunit ribosomal RNA", at positions 30 to 526 of the family's 1533-position model. The record is from RNAcentral.
AUUGAACGCUGGCGGCAGGCCUAACACAUGCAAGUCGAACGAGUGGCGGACGGGUGAGUUAUGUCUGGGAAACUGCCAGAUGGAUGGGGAUCACUACUGGACACGGUAGCUAAUACCGUAUUCCAUCGGAUGUGCCCAGAUGGGAUGAGCUAGGAGGUGGGGUAACGGCUCACCUAGGCGACGAUCCCUAGCUGGUCUGAGAGGAUGACCAGCCACACUGGAACUGAGACACGGUCCAGACUCCUACGGGAGGCAGCAGUGGGGAAUAUUGGACAAUGGGCGCAAGCCUGAUGCAGCCAUGCCGCGUGUAUGAAGAAGGCCUUCGGGUUGUAAAGUACUUUCAGCGAGGAGGCGUUACUCACAGAAGAAGCACCGGCUAACUCCGUGCCAGCAGCCGCGGUAAUUC